UACGUAGGUGACAAGCGUUGUCCGGAUUUACUGGGCGUAAAGAGCGCGCAGGCGGUCAGAUAAGUCGAAUGUGAAAGCCCCCGGCUCAACUGGGGAGGGUCAUUCGAUACUGAUCGACUUGAAGGCAGGAGAGGGAAGCGGAAUUCCCGGUGUAGUGGUGAAAUGCGUAGAUAUCGGGAGGAACACCAGUGGCGAAGGCGGCUUCCUGGCCUGUUCUUGACGCUGAGGCGCGAAAGCUAGGGGAGCAAACGGG
This 253-nucleotide ribosomal RNA is filed under the name uncultured bacterium. Its description in RNAcentral is "partial 16S ribosomal RNA". It matches the Rfam family "Bacterial small subunit ribosomal RNA", at positions 524 to 776 of the family's 1533-position model. The record is from RNAcentral.